AUACGGAGGGUGCAAGCGUUAAUCGGAGUUACUGGGCGUAAAGCGUACGUAGGCGGUCCGUUAAGUUAGAUGUGAAAGCCCCGGGCUUAACCUGGGAACUGCAUUUAAAACUGGCGAACUAGAGUUGAGUAGAGGGGAGUGGAAUUUCAGGUGUAGCGGUGAAAUGCGUAGAGAUCUGAAGGAACACCAGUGGCGAAGGCGACUCCCUGGACUCGAACUGACGCUGAGGUACGAAAGCGUGGGUAGCAAACGGGAUUAGAAACCCCAGUAGUCC
RNAcentral lists this ribosomal RNA (274 nucleotides) under uncultured bacterium. RNAcentral's name for it is "partial 16S ribosomal RNA". It matches the Rfam family "Bacterial small subunit ribosomal RNA", at positions 523 to 796 of the family's 1533-position model. The record is from RNAcentral.